This 84-nucleotide transfer RNA is filed under the name Candidatus Portnoybacteria bacterium CG02_land_8_20_14_3_00_45_8. RNAcentral's name for it is "tRNA-Leu". It matches the Rfam family "tRNA". From Rfam's summary of the family: Transfer RNA (tRNA) molecules are approximately 80 nucleotides in length. Their secondary structure includes four short double-helical elements and three loops (D, anti-codon, and T loops). RNAcentral also lists the same sequence under 1 other name. The record is from RNAcentral. Lineage: Bacteria; Candidatus Portnoyibacteriota.
GCCGCGGUGUUGGAAUUGGCAGACAAGAUGGACUCAAAAUCCAUUGGUGGCGACACCGUGAGAGUUCAAAUCUCUCCCGCGGCA